This 1640-nucleotide ribosomal RNA is filed under the name metagenome. RNAcentral's name for it is "SSU rRNA". It matches the Rfam family "Eukaryotic small subunit ribosomal RNA", at positions 39 to 1649 of the family's 1831-position model. The record is from RNAcentral.
AAAGAUUAAGCCAUGCAUGUCUAAGUGUGUUCACAACCACGUGGACGAACUGCGGACGGCUCAUUACAAGAGAAAUAAUCUACCCGAUUGUGCAAAGCUACAUGGAUAACUGCGGUAAUUCCGGAGCCAAUACACGCAAAAAGCCGUGCCCGAGAGGGUGCGUGCUGUGUUUAUUAGAGUAAAACCAACUUUAACCCUUGGUGAACCAUGAUAACUGUCGGACCCUAUGGCUUUACGCCGAGGGCCUUCGGUCGAGUUUCUCACCUAUCAGGUUGUCGGUAGUGUCUUGGACUACCGAGCCGGUGACGGGUACGGGGGAUCAGGGUCUGAUUCCGGAGAGUGAGCCUGAGAAACGGCUGACACUUCCAAGGAAGGCAGCAGGCGCGAAAAUUACCCAAUGCGAAGACCGUGAGGUAGUGACAAAAAAUAACAAGAUCAGUGGUGUUUCACCACCGAUCAUUGGAAUGAGGUAGAGGUAAAACGCCUACCGAGUAACUAGUGGAGGGCAAGUCUGGUGCCAGCAGCCGCGGUAAUUCCAGCUCCACGAGUGUAUUUGUACGUUGUUGUGGUUAAAAAGCUCGUAGUCGGAUUUCACGCAGGUUCGUGCUUGUGCCCGUCGAAAUGACGGACCUUCACCGCCUGCGUUACCUGUGCAUAUUGGGGCGGCGCAAUUAACUUUGUACCGUUCCCGAGUGCACACGUUCACUUUGAAUAACUCAUAAAGCUCAAAUUAGCCCGUUGGCUGAUUGCUUCUGCAUGGCACGAUGUAACAAGACUUGUUUUUGUUUCGUUGGUUUGAUAAAAACGAGUAAUGAUAAAUAGGAGCGGUUGGGGAAUUCAGUAUUUAGGGUGAAGCGGUGAAAUGCUGGGAUCCCCUAAAGACUAACUAAUGCGAAGGCUUUAUUCAAAGACGCCUCCAUUGAUCAAGAACGAAAGUAUGGGUAGCGAAGAUGAUCAGAUACCGUCGUAGUCCAUACCGUAAACUAUGCCGGCUAAGGAUUCGAAGAUGAUUAACGAAUGUCUCCUCGAGCACUUUAGAGAAAUUAUAAGCCCUUAGGUUCCAGGGGGAGUAUAGUCGCAAGGCCGAAACUUAAAGGAAUUGACGGAAGGGCACCACCAGCGGUGGAGCUUGCGGCUUAAUUUGACCCAACACGGGAAAACUUACCAGGGCAGGACAUAAUAAGGAUUAUCAGAUUGAGAGCUCUUAUAUGAUUUUUUGGGUGGUGGUGCAUGGCCGUUCUUAGUUGGUGGAGUGAUUUGUCUGGUUGAUUCCGUUAACGAGCGAGACCUUAACCGUUAAAUAGCCACGCGAGCCGCCUGACACGCGUUGAAGGGGUCCCGGCAGCCCGGCCUAACGGCUGGUCUCUGGGGUCCUGGAUGCGCUGGUGCGCUCGUGGAUGCGCUUCUUAACGGGACUCCUUGCAUCCAGCAAGGGGAAGUUUGAGGCAAUAACAGGUCUGCAUGCCCUUAGAUGUUCUGGGCCGCACGCGUGCUACACUGACGAUUUCAACGAGUACCUCCUGUCCCGAAAGGGCUGGGUAAUCUUCAACGAUCGUCGUGCUGGGGCUUGCGCCUUGCAAUUUUUGCGCAUAAACGAGGAAUCCCUUGUAGUUGUGAGUCAUCAACUCGCGACGAAUACG